AGCGAACGCUGGCGGCAGGCCUAACACAUGCAAGUCGAACGAACCUUUCGGGGUUAGUGGCGGACGGGUGAGUAACACGUGGGAACGUGCCUUUAGGUUCGGAAUAACUCAGGGAAACUUGUGCUAAUACCGAAUGUGCCCUUCGGGGUAAAGAUUUAUCGCCUUUAGAGCGGCCCGCGUCUGAUUAGCUAGUUGGUUGAGGUAAUGGCUCACCAAGGCGACGAUCAGUAGCUGGUCUGAGAGGAUGAUCAGCCACAUUGGGACUGAGACACGGCCCAAACUCCUACGGGAAGCAGCAGUGGGGAAUCUUGCGCAAUGGGCGAAAGCCUGACGCAGCCAUGCCGCGUGAAUGAUGAAGGUCUUAGGAUUGUAAAAUUCUUUCACCGGGGACGAUAAUGACGGUACCCGGAGAAGAAGCCCCGGCUAACUUCGUG
RNAcentral lists this ribosomal RNA (434 nucleotides) under uncultured bacterium. RNAcentral's name for it is "partial 16S ribosomal RNA". It matches the Rfam family "Bacterial small subunit ribosomal RNA", at positions 29 to 507 of the family's 1533-position model. The record is from RNAcentral.